GUAGGUGGCAAGCGUUGUCCGGAAUUAUUGGGCGUAAAGCGCGCGCAGGUGGUUCUUUAAGUCUGAUGUGAAAGCCCCCGGGCUCAACCGGGGAGGGUCAUUGGAAACUGGGGAACUUGAGUGCAGGAGAGGAAAGUGGAAUUCCACGUGUAGCGGUGAAAUGCGUAGAUAUGUGGAGGAACACCAGUGGCGAAGGCGACUUUCUGGCCUGUAACUGACACUGAGGCGCGAAAGCGUGGGGAGCAAACAGGAUUAGAUACCCUGGUAGUCCACGCCGUAAACAAUGAGUGCUAAGUGUUGGGGGGUUUCCGCCCCUCAGUGCUGCAGCUAACGCAUUAAGCACUCCGCCUGGGGAGUACGGUCGCAAAGACUG
Molecule: ribosomal RNA, 373 nt
Filed under: uncultured organism
Description: partial 16S ribosomal RNA
Rfam family: Bacterial small subunit ribosomal RNA
Source: RNAcentral